Molecule: long non-coding RNA, 2141 nt
Organism: Poecile atricapillus (Black-capped chickadee)
Lineage: Eukaryota; Metazoa; Chordata; Aves; Passeriformes; Paridae
Exons: 3
Source: RefSeq, a predicted model, not a curated record
CGCGAGCCGUUCCCGCGCUUUCGCCACGCCCCGCCCAGCCUGAGGGGCAGGUGCGCGCCCCGGGCACCCCCCCGGCCCCUGCGUGAGGGGCGGCUGCGGAAACACCGGCGGGAGCGGGCCCCCGAGGGAGCUCUGCCGUCCCCUGAGGUGCUACGGGGAGAGACCCUGCUCCGGGAGGCACAGGGACACCUCCCGACACAGCCCCCCGAAACAACAGCGGCCCCGGUGCGGGCUGAGCCCGUCCCAGCGGCGGCCGCAGCUGAAGUGUGAAGAGCAUCGUGGGCAGUGUGAAGCGCGCCCGGGCUCCGCUCUGCUGUGGGACCCACCCAUACACCUGAUCCGGACAAGACCGUGGCGUUAUCACCUUUCUCCCUGGGUUCUGCCCCAAAACACCCACUUCCGUGAAUGCUCACAGCCCCUCAGGCAAAGAAGAGCGCCCCACCUGCGCUCUCAGCACCAAGGUCCAGGGGACCGGUGUCUCAUCAAGGCUUGUCUCAACAAGACAGCGACUGAAAAUCUCGACAUCUCAUCACAGGUUUUGAAGCCUGCUCAUCCUGACCAAGCCUUUCUGGAUCUCAUCAACAUGAAGGAACUCUCAUUAUGCCCUUCCAGGUGAUCUGUGCAAUACUUCCUGGAGUGACUUCCCUGUGAUGCCAACAGCUUUCCCUGGCACCCCAAGCAGAUUAAGUGGAGGACCACAGCAGUAAGUGCCUUCCCUCCAACCGGCUCCAAUGGAAUGGUUUUCCCAUAGGAAUUAACCUCAGAGGAAUCAGUCCCUCCAGCCAAACUUCCUCCUUUCCAGAGAAGCCAGAGGCUUGCAUGCUUUUUAAAAAAAAGAAAAAAAAAUCCCCAAAUCAAGGUAGUAUUUCAAGUCAGAUUAUGGUUCUCGCCAAAGAGCUGAAAGUUUAGCUGGAAUGAAUUAGCUAGGCUUUGCAGAAAGGAGGCUGUAAAGAAGGAGGUUUCAUUGCCUUCGGUGCUGCAUCCCACUGCCUUCAUCAGUGGUGGCGAAGGGGCAGUUCACAGGCAGGCAGAGACAGCUGAAAGAGGCAGCUGGGAAGCAGAGCCUUGAGAUGCAGGGUCUUCAGCCUCUUCCUUAGGGUUUUCCCUGGGAACACCACCUGGGUGAAGCCAGCAGGAGAGGCUGGGAUCCAGGCCAUGCCCUUGCCGAGCAGAUUAGCAGCAGUGCUUGCCACCUUGCCACCCCCAGGAAAGAAGCGUGAUCCCUGCCUGGCACAGAAAUGGAUCCAACGGGAGGCUGUGAGGCGAAACUCACUCAAAUAUUGAACUAGAAAAAUUUUGCUCAAUCUGCCUCUCAGUAAACAGUGACUAAUUGCUCUGGCUGGAGCUGCUGUACCUUCUAGAUUGGAAGGUGCAGAUGGAGCAACGAUAGUGAAGGCUCCUUACCUGACGCUGGCUGUACAUUAAUCACAAAUGUUUGCUAUGCAAAUCUUGUCAUACAAAGCAAUUAUUGCUGUUCUCGUACUGACCUCAUGUUUAUUUAUUACAUGAGCUCUUUAUUUGAACCUUGUCUGGUCUCUCUUCCCAUAUAAGCGUAUUAGUAUGUGGCUUCCAAAGGCACCCAGCUGAGAAAUUGUAGAUUUAUUUGUGGCGUGGAGGGAUGGCACACCACACGCUGACUGCAAUGCAGAGCUGAGAGGCUCAGCUCUUACACCAGUGGCUCUUCAUGCAAAAUACUGUCACCCCGAGGUCUCUUGCUGGGAUGAAGGACACUUUCUAACAGCACAGGGCCACGACUCCGGGUUCGCUCUGACGCUGCAGUAUUAACCGAUGGUUAAUGGAGACUGUCAGCCCGAGGAGCCGCGCAAUAAAACUCUGCUUGGGCUUCUUUAGGGCCCGCUCAGUAAAACUAAAAUUUUACACAGUGCUUCGUCCUUGGCUUUGUCACCUUUGCCUACCUCCAGAAUGGUGAGUUGCAAAUAGAUUUAACUGUGUCACCAAGUAAGUUGCAGGUGUGCUUUUGAAUGUGGUGGUGUUUGGAUAGCUGGAGUGAUGGGUGUCUUUAAGCACCAAAUAUUCUCUUGCCAAAGGAGUUUUCUCCAUGUGAUUUAAUGUUGGGCAACACUGGCAUCCGGUGGGCAGAGGCUUUUCUCCUUAACAGCUUGUGGCAGCUCACUCCCUUG